AGAGGACAAUUUGUCAGGCUAUAUAAUGGCCGCAUAUGUCGACAACACCGACUCCCAACAUGAAGACUGCCUGCCUCGUGCUGUUUGCCGCGUUGUACCUGGGAACCGCCCUCGUGGCCGAUGUAGACGCAUACGGAGGAUGCUGCGGCGCCACAUGUUUUGUGCACGGACAAUGUGGCUGCUGCAGUUGUCCAUACAACAGGCCUGCAAUCUGUGACCGUUACCAUGGGUGGCCAUACAGAUGCACCUGCCAUAGACAUCGUGGGUGAUGUUGGGACACUGGCCUACCAACUUUAGAGCAACUUCUGAUGGCUUUUUGUAACAUGUGAACAUGCCUUUGUCCAAAUAAACGAUCUUAAUCAGAA
This is a long non-coding RNA of Haliotis rufescens (red abalone), 365 nucleotides long. RefSeq lists it as uncharacterized. The record is from RefSeq and is a predicted model, not a curated record. NCBI's taxonomy places the organism in Eukaryota, Metazoa, Mollusca, Gastropoda, Lepetellida, Haliotidae. The transcript is spliced from 4 exons.